GAAGGACAAUACAAUUCUCUAUCUGUUAUGUGUCGCUUUGGCUAUAAGCCUGAUUGUUAUAGCCUGUCUAGUUUAUUCAAUCAAGAAGCUAAAGAAGAGUUCAUAUGUAUAUUCUAAUGAUGCAGUUGCCCUGCAAACAAAUGUACUUUCAAGUGGUGACCAGGAAAAUCAGCAGACAGAUGAGGACUUGUUGGUUUAUUCGGCACCAACUUUUAAAAAAGCGAGCAAAUCGGGGACAAAGGAUACAAAACCUGCAGAGGAAGAGAGCAUCUACACUGAUGUCAAGGCUCUUGGGCUGGAUUAAGCUCUACUAGCAUCAUAAAUGUGGACAUAUAUUUCACUU
This is a long non-coding RNA of Pundamilia nyererei, 343 nucleotides long. RefSeq lists it as uncharacterized. NCBI's taxonomy places the organism in Eukaryota, Metazoa, Chordata, Actinopteri, Cichliformes, Cichlidae. The record is from RefSeq and is a predicted model, not a curated record. The transcript is spliced from 3 exons.